This is a small nucleolar RNA of Malania oleifera, 106 nucleotides long. NCBI's taxonomy places the organism in Eukaryota, Viridiplantae, Streptophyta, Magnoliopsida, Santalales, Ximeniaceae. The record is from RefSeq and is a predicted model, not a curated record.
ACUUGGUGAUGUGGGCAUGUAUGCAGAAGGUCCCUAAAGCACUCCCAGGUCUCAAAAAAUAGUUCCCCAUCCAAUUGUGAGAAACUAGUGAUUGCCCUUCGCAACU